This is a long non-coding RNA of Centruroides sculpturatus (bark scorpion), 541 nucleotides long. RefSeq lists it as uncharacterized. The record is from RefSeq and is a predicted model, not a curated record. NCBI's taxonomy places the organism in Eukaryota, Metazoa, Arthropoda, Arachnida, Scorpiones, Buthidae. The transcript is spliced from 3 exons.
GUAUUUGUUAUAAUUUUAGAAAGCGACCAACUAUUGAGGAGUGUUUUGAAAACAAAUGGCUAAUUCCAAGUGAAUUUAUGAUAAGAAAGCGAGAACAUGCCAUAUUUCUUACUCAUCGCAUCCAUGAAUUUUCUGAACAGUUUCAUGCACAGAAAAGAUUGUCUAGUCCACCUGCUCUACUUAAUAUGUUUGGAAUGUCUAUCUCCAAAUCUGUUUCUCUGGAGACAGAUACGCUGGAAGAAUUUUGAAAUGAAUCAAAUAAGAACUACAGGUUUAAAAUGAAAUUAAAAAGCACAACCAAAUAAAUAUGCCUUCACCGUGAUAUUAUGAAUGUACAAAGUGAACCAGCAACAAUUCACCGGAAUAUUUGUGACUUCUGCUACAAAAUUAUGUAUUUGAUGAAGUUGUGUGGCCAUAGAGAAUGUGAAGAAUGUAGUUCUUGUAACAUCUUUUAUUUAAUAUUGUCUAAAAUAUAUUUCUAAAAGAAAUAACGUUAUUUCUUUGCAGAUAUAAUUUCGAAAUAAACUUAUUUAAACAUCUG